RNAcentral lists this ribosomal RNA (179 nucleotides) under uncultured bacterium. Its description in RNAcentral is "partial 16S ribosomal RNA". It matches the Rfam family "Bacterial small subunit ribosomal RNA", at positions 335 to 527 of the family's 1533-position model. The record is from RNAcentral.
AUUCCUACGGGAGGCAGCAGUGGGGAAUAUUGGACAAUGGACCAAAAGUCUGAUCCAGCAAUUCUGUGUGCACGAUGAAGGUCUUCGGAUCGUAAAGUGCUUUCAGUUGGGAAGAAGAAAGUGACGGUACCAACAGAAGAAGCGACGGCUAAAUACGUGCCAGCAGCCGCGGUAAUAAU